Molecule: ribosomal RNA, 404 nt
Filed under: bacterium
Lineage: Bacteria
Description: partial 16S ribosomal RNA
Rfam family: Bacterial small subunit ribosomal RNA
Source: RNAcentral
UGGGGAAUAUUGGACAAUGGGCGCAAGCCUGAUCCAGCCAUGCCGCGUGAGUGAUGAAGGCCUUAGGGUUGUAAAGCUCUUUUGUCCGGGAAGAUAAUGACUGUACCGGAAGAAUAAGCCCCGGCUAACUUCGUGCCAGCAGCCGCGGUAAUACGAAGGGGGCUAGCGUUGCUCGGAAUCACUGGGCGUAAAGGGCGCGUAGGCGGACUUUUAAGUCGGAGGUGAAAGCCCAGGGCUCAACCCUGGAAUUGCCUUCGAUACUGGGAGUCUUGAGUUCGGAAGAGGUUGGUGGAAAUGCGAGUGUAGAGGUGAAAUUCGUAGAUAUUCGCAAGAACACCGGUGGCGAAGGCGGCCAACUGGUCCGAAACUGACGCUGAGGCGCGAAAGCGUGGGGAGCAAACAGG